This is a long non-coding RNA of Magnolia sinica, 524 nucleotides long. RefSeq lists it as uncharacterized. The record is from RefSeq and is a predicted model, not a curated record. The transcript has 3 exons. NCBI's taxonomy places the organism in Eukaryota, Viridiplantae, Streptophyta, Magnoliopsida, Magnoliales, Magnoliaceae.
UAGCCUUAAAAUACUAAUUUGUUUGUUUGAAUUGGCUCAGUUGUAUGUGUGGUGUCAUGAUUUUUGGUAAUAAAAAAUUAUCGUUGCCUCCAUGAAUUAUUUAAUAUUCAUGAUAAUUACCUAAUAGCCAUCAUAUCCAAGAAAUGAGUGGAGUUGUAGUCUUUGGUGUCAUAGUUUCACGAAUUACCAGAAUAUUGAUGUUCCUGUUUCAUUGAAUUGGUCUCUUGUAGGAGAGACAUGAAAUCCCCAUUGCUCCAGCUUCUCUGUUUCUAUAAAUACUAACUUCGAAUUUUUGUUCUCAAGUGAAGGUCUUCGAAGAAGUUCCUGCUUAAAUAGUCUCAGUUGCCAUUGUGUUGCCAGAGUUCGUAGCCAGCCUGCGUCAUGGUUCUGCCCACUGCAAUGAAUGCUACUUAAGGAAAUGGAACUAGCCAGCCAUGAUAUCUUAGUGGGCAAUGAUACAAAAGAGAAGCGUUUCUUGUAUGGUAUUGUUGCAAAUGAUCGAACUAGAAUAGAUGUUGACAAGU